GGUCGUCCCCAUACCCCGUCCGGUAUGGGCGCCAAAACCAUAAACCUCAAUACCCCGUCCGGUAUGAGGGUGAAACGGGCUGUCCCCAUACCCCGUCCGGUAUGGGCGCCAAAACACAUAAGGUCUCCAUACCCCGUCCGGUAUGAGAGACCACAAUCCCGGUAGGGUUCCUUACGGACCCGGUCCGUCCACCAUCUCCCAGAAUAUCUAGUCAGGCUGACCACAUUAUCCAAUUAUCAAUUUACGUAACCUUUUAUUC
This 259-nucleotide long non-coding RNA is filed under the name Carica papaya (papaya). RNAcentral describes it as "long non-coding RNA (CPAP_LNC004059)". Lineage: Eukaryota; Viridiplantae; Streptophyta; Magnoliopsida; Brassicales; Caricaceae. The record is from RNAcentral.